UGUGGGAGCGAGCUUGCUCGCGAUAGCGUAAGGUCAGUCAGCAUCCAUGUUGGCUGGUACCCCGCCAUCGCGAGCAAGCUCGUUCCCACA
This 90-nucleotide unclassified non-coding RNA is filed under the name Pseudomonas sp. 7SR1. The record is from RNAcentral. Lineage: Bacteria; Pseudomonadati; Pseudomonadota; Gammaproteobacteria; Pseudomonadales; Pseudomonadaceae.